UCCGUUCUCGGUGUUUCGCCAAAAUUCUAGACGCAUAGCCAAGUUUCGUGAACUUUACAAUUUUCAAAUACCACUGUGAAAUAAUUCUGUUUUAUAUUCACAGGAUUGGAAUAAUUCAUGUGAAUCCGCUAGUCAUAAUUUGCUUAGGUUGCAUCAGUGUGACGAUAUCUCGUCAACAAAAGAAAGUGCAGUUGACUCAUUACUGCAAAUAUUGCAUGUUAGUCGGGAACAAAGUUUGAAAUUUUCGAUAAUCCGACUCUCGUCCCUCCGAUCUUCGUCGCGAGCCUCUAAUUCCCACAUGAACCAAAACCAAAGAAGGAUGUCACAGUACAACGCUAAAAAGUAUGCAGAAGCACCUCCCCCCACAUCCUGGUCUGAUGAAUGGGACCCCGCAUCGGGACCUAGUAAUUCCAAACCCCACAAGAAAAGUACCGGAAGACAGACUACCCGGUCCAAGACCUGGAAAGGGAAGAAAACUAAUGCCCCUGAAAAAUCAGCUCCUGAAAAGGAGAUUUCUGACCCUGCAGAGAUCACUCGCGGAAUAACCAAAGCUAAGAAGGAAAACCUUCAAGACGAGACGCUUUGGCAGGAGGGUCCAUAAGUUGGUACCCAUCCAUUAACUAGAAUCUUUGCCGACUUGGAAGUGGGAAACCCCAGCCUACGAAGAGAAAUGCCAUGUUGUGCAUGUCAACCCGUCAUGACUAGUGUUCUAAACACUAUGAUCAUUGACCACGUCCGCAUCGUCAACGCCGAAGAUAGGUAUGCAGAUGAAGAAUCUUCUCUCAACCUGAUUCCAGAUGAUUUGGUACGUGAAGAUGAUCACCAACACAGUAAACCCAGCUGGUGAUUUAGUGAAGGCAAACUUUCCCAACGUUGGAAUACGAGCACCACACAUGGAUGCUGGAGACCACGUCGUAGAACAAAUCGCAGGAGGAUUUGGAGUGUAUGGAGCGAACAACCACAACGCAUAAAGCUAUAAAGCACAAAACAUCACGAUGUUAGCUACUCACAUGUUCAUAGUCUUUUCUAUAAUCUUCUCGUUUUUGAUCAGUUCGAUUAUGUGAUGUUGUUCCAAACUCGCGAGGCGCCUGUGGCUCCUGUAAUCAGCAAACAUAAGAAAAAUUUCUUAUUUACAAAUCAGUAUUAGUCACUUUUAGAGAUAAAAGCAUUAAAUCCAGCUUGCACUGUUGAUGGGUUAAGAUAAAUUUUAUUAUAUUUUACGAACAAAUAUGAAAAUGACAACAGUUGAAUCAUAUCGCGAUGUUAUUUUGGGAUCAAAAGCAUGAGGAUCACGGGAUAUUGUUAGAGAUUACGUUAACGGCAUCAUCUACAAUUCGCAUUGAGUACAGAAAUGCUAGGUUAUCCCAUUCAAGGUUUGAAUUCUCACCUUCGCGAGCACUGUCCCCAUUGUCUCUUUAAUAGAAGAUCUUGUACGAAAUUCUCUUGAGUCAGGCUCUCAUGCCGAAUUUGGUUGUUGAAAUUAAGCGUAAAUUUUUUUACUACUUUUACGCUGAUGAAAAUUUUGCGUCAAAUGGGAUUGUGGUGAACAAACGAGAACAGCCGGCACGCUGUUGCCAACUUAUAAGUAUAUGAUAGAGAAUUGACUUUAUUCACAUACAACGUGUUAUAUCUCUGGCCCUACGUUAUGAAUUUUUUUUUCUUCAACUGUAAUCGUAAUUGACACACACGUGCCUAUGGUAAUAUGAAAAAAUUGUAGACUUGUUUAUCUCAACUUGAACAUGCUGAUGCUACGGCGAAAUCAAAGAUCUUUUUAAUAAAGAUAGCCAUGAAUGAA
This 1795-nucleotide long non-coding RNA is filed under the name Neodiprion pinetum (white pine sawfly). Its description in RNAcentral is "uncharacterized LOC124216091". The record is from RNAcentral. Lineage: Eukaryota; Metazoa; Arthropoda; Insecta; Hymenoptera; Diprionidae.